AUGAGACACCAAGACAUAAUAGAUCAGCUAGACAGAACGUGAAGCAACGCGACAAAACACGAUGAAACAUCUCACUCUGGCUUUGCUUUGCUUUUUGAUGGUGAUAGCUACUGCGUUCUUCCUUGAUACAAAUGGGGUUUCACCUUUCAUUGAACCCGAUUAUCACUAUGUCUUAAGGUGCAGGUAUAAAAACCAGCAAUGCGGUGUUUUCUUGUUCACGUAUAGAGGAGAGUGCUGUAAAGGCUUCGUUUGCAG
This is a long non-coding RNA of Physella acuta, 255 nucleotides long. RefSeq lists it as uncharacterized. Lineage: Eukaryota; Metazoa; Mollusca; Gastropoda; Physidae. The record is from RefSeq and is a predicted model, not a curated record.